This 274-nucleotide ribosomal RNA is filed under the name uncultured bacterium. RNAcentral describes it as "partial 16S ribosomal RNA". It matches the Rfam family "Bacterial small subunit ribosomal RNA", at positions 523 to 796 of the family's 1533-position model. The record is from RNAcentral.
AUACGGAGGGAGCGAGCGUUAAUCGGAAUUACUGGGCGUAAAGCGCGCGUAGGCGGCUUUGUAAGUCGGAUGUGAAAGCCCCGGGCUUAACCUGGGAAUUGCAUUCGAAACUGCAGGGCUAGAGUAUGGUAGAGGGAAGUGGAAUUUCCGGUGUAGCGGUGAAAUGCGUAGAUAUCGGAAGGAACACCAGUGGCGAAGGCGACUUCCUGGGCCAAUACUGACGCUGAGGUGCGAAAGCGUGGGGAGCAAACAGGAUUAGAUACCCCAGUAGUCC